Molecule: long non-coding RNA, 693 nt
Filed under: Zostera marina
Lineage: Eukaryota; Viridiplantae; Streptophyta; Magnoliopsida; Alismatales; Zosteraceae
Description: long non-coding RNA (ZMAR_LNC004656)
Source: RNAcentral
AUAAAAGUUUCGAGCUCAAUUCUAUUUCUCCCUCUUCACAGGAUACUUCUGGUUCUGAGUUUAAAAUGCAUGAUUCAAUACAGGAGCUCAAAGACAAAAUACAAGUAGAGUCUGUUUCUGGUUCUGAGUUUAAAAUACAUGAUUCAACACAGGAGCUCAAGAACAAAAUAGAUGUAGAGUCUCUUUCUGGUUCUGAGUUGAAAAUGCAUGAUUCAAUACAGGAGUCCAGCAAAAUACAUGUAGAGUCUGUUUCUGGUUUUGAGUUUAAAAUAUAUGAUUCAACGCAGGAGCUUAAAAACAAAAUAGAUGUAGAGUCUCUUUCUGGUUCUGAAUUGAAAAUGCAUGAUUCAAUACAGGAAUCCAGCAAAAUACAUGUAGAGUCUGUUUCUGGUUCUGAAUUGAAAAUGCACGAUUCAAUACAGGAAUCCAGCAAAAUACAUGUAGAGUCUGUUUCUGGUUCUGAGUGUAAAAUACAUGAUUCAACACAGGAGCUCAAGAACAAAAUAGAUGUACAGUCUCUUUCUGGUUCUGAGUUGAAAAUGCAUGAUUCAAUACAGGAGUCCAGCAAAAUACAUGUAGAGUCUGUUUCUGGUUCUGAGUUUAAAAUACAUGAUUCAACACAGGAACUCAAGAACAAAAUAGAUGUAGAGUCUGUUUCUGGUUCUGAGUUUAAAAUACACGAUUCAACGCAGG